CCCGUAAAUACUUCACAUCUUUGUGACCACAUUUCGCUAGCAAAAUUCCUCCCAAAUCCUGAUGAAGACCACGUUUCAUGUUCAAAAUUUUGGGAACCUUAGCCGCACCAUCUCACUCUCCCUCGGUCUCGCUCAUCAGUCCCCUUCUCUCUCGCGACUCUCUCCUCAAUCGACGCACCGCACCACCGCAUCCCUCUCUCCCCUCCCUCUGUUGACUCCCUUUCUCUCCCUCUGACCAAACCCUAAGUCCCCGUGGGACCUCUUGGCAUCGACGGCGAACAAUCAGUUCCACUUCAGUCACGAUCAGUAGGCCAUUCUGGCAGUGAAGCUUCGGCAACACCAGAUCAGCGGCAGCGGAGGGAGUUCUCCAGCGGCGGCAGCGGCCAAGUCGUCGUUGCUUCAACAACGGUUGUCGUUUCAGCCCAGAGGUGUUGCCGUGGGGAUUUCCGGUGAUUCGAAUCAGAGUGUUUGCACCAAACGAAACAAGUACUACGAUUUUUUAGCAAAGGACAAAUCUGUCUCUCCAAACUCAUCUUCUCCACAAAAGGUGGUUUUCAAAGGGGUAGCGUCAGAUUCAGAAAAGGCGAUGUACCAAGCAGUGAAGGAUGCAUUGGAGUUUAGGAGUUUAUGAAAGCCAAUGCGACAAGGGAUUCGGGGAGAUCAAUUGUUACGAGUAGUGGACCUGCUGUGGCUCCCAAUGGCAACUGCUGCCUCAUGGGAGCUUAAAGGUUAAUGUUGAUGGUGUGUGGAUGGCUUUUGGGCAAAAUGGUGGAAAUAUGGCAGGUGCAGGUAUAGUUAUAGAAGUGCUGACUGCAAUUCUGUAGCUACCAGAGCUGUUAAUUUGGGAAUGGUAGGUUCAGUUUUGUGCGCAGAGGCUAUGGCUUGAAGGGCUGCAUUAGAAUUCGCUCAUUUUUUGGGGCUAAGCCGGAUUAUGGUCAAAGAGGAUUCACACCAGUGAGUUCAAAUUCUGGGCAGUAGGGCAAUUUGCCCAGUGGGGGUGGAUGUGGUCGUUGAUGAUAUCAAUGGAAGUGUGAGUUUGUUUUUGUCCGAAGGAUGGUGAAUGCGGUUGCAGAUAGAUUGGCGAAGUCUGGAGUGCGUGGAAUUAAGGUUUGAACUUGGGAAGCUCGACCUAUAACCAUCUUUUUUAUGUAUUAGUUUCGUAUCUUAUAUAUCAAUAAAACUUCCUACCAUUUUGACAAAAAAAAGACAAACCUUCUGCAUUGAGCAAAGCUCUCUCAAAAAGCUCUCACACAUCUCAUGCGUUAUAAUGUAAGGAUCCCACGCCUUGAGGGGAAAUGUAAAUUACCUUUCGUGGUGCAAUUUUCACAUUAUUCUUUGCAUUCUUUA
Long non-coding RNA from Rhododendron vialii, 1347 nucleotides. RefSeq lists it as uncharacterized. Lineage: Eukaryota; Viridiplantae; Streptophyta; Magnoliopsida; Ericales; Ericaceae. The record is from RefSeq and is a predicted model, not a curated record. The transcript is spliced from 2 exons.